AUGUUAGUAUCUACAGAAGAGAAACAAAUAUUAUGCUAAAGCAAAUGGCAUGAGCUGCUAUAAUUUACUGAAUAGGUACUUUCUAUGCUACUGUAAGAAACAGUAAUUGAAAGAGAAAUUGUAUUGUUUUACUAUAUUUACUAUAUACAUUUAAUGUAAGUCGAGAUUUAGAAGAAACAAACUGUGUCUGCAAACUGAAUUUGUUCUCUUCGAAUACUGCACCAUUUUGACAAUGUAAGAAAUGCUUUAAGUUUUAUUGCAGCUAAUUUUAAGUACUGUAAAAUGAAUAGCGGGUUGAAUUAACUGAUUUGAGAGCAUUUGUAAUAUAUGGAAGGGCUUUAUAUUUCCUUCUACUAAAAAGAACAGAAAAUGUCAUCUAAUUUUUUAUGUAAAAGAAAAGAAGCAGGUGAUUUUUCAUGGGUUAUUAUUUAACCCUUUCAACAGCAGAGCGAGAUAGUGAGAGGAAAAAAUCACUUGUCUCGAGCUGGUAGGCACUAUAUCUGGACUAGGUCUAUUUUAGUGCAGCUCAAACUCUAACAUGAGAAGAUUGCAGAAAUUUACAAUUCAAAGUGUGUUUCAUCAGGGAGAAAUCCACAGAUUGUUUUGACACUCAGUUAGAAAUUCAGCAUGAAGAUGGACAUCUCAUGAAAUUUGCAGCUGCUGAUAGAAUUUAUAUUUCCAUAAAGGCCAUCAACAGUAGCAGCCUGCAGGGGAAGUCAAGGAAAAAUGACAAAAAUUGUGAGGCUAGCAUUUUUUCCUCAGUCUUAUAGUAGCAAAUUACUUGUAAUAAGGUUCUACGCUGACCAGGAUUAAAGAGAAAUGGAGGUAGCCAGAAGGGAAUGAUUUCUCUGUUUAACUGAUUUGAACUAACAAUGUCUGAAUUUGAUAUUUAAAUAUAUGUUUAGUCAUUUGUACAGUAUGUAAAAUGCACAACUGCAAAUCAAAAAUGUCCUUAAACUGAAAAAUGAGACUUUUAGUGGUAAUUACAGAAGGUUUAUCUUACAGGUAAUUUGAUUCUAGAAUAAAUUCCCAGGAUAGAAAAUUAAUGAUUGUCUAACGUGCAAAAGUAGGUCGUCUUUAUUAGGGACAAAAAUCUCAUCUCAUUUCAUCUCUGGCAUGUAUCCUCUCAUUCAUACACGCACAGAUAGGAGAGGAUGUGUAAGAUCUGAAUUCACUUUUCUGAGCAGCAACUCUCAUUAUGUUACCUUUUAAAAAGCAAACAUGCAUUCACAAAAACAAACCCAUGUUGUCAAAACAAUUAGUAAGAAAUGCUAUUGGAACAAAUGCCGUAAUAAAAUUUAACAGAUUUAUCUUUUCUUUAGAAGGGUUUACAUAUUACUAUUUCUGUUUUUAUGGAAGGAACAGGGCAGGAGGGAAAGUUUCUUCUUUUAUGGUAGAAUCAUCAUCAUUGGUAUCUUUCUUGAGAGAUUCUAGCUCUCAUAACACCUUUGUUUCAAAACACCUGCACAUCUUUAGAGUAUGGAAAGGUUUAAUGUUUAGGUGUUUUCUUUCAUCUUGGUGUUAGAGAAUUCUGUGUGCAACUUGCAGUGGAUAGCAAGGCAGCUGUACUCACAGAGUUGAAUUCAGAAGCCUUUCCUUACAGUUAAUAGCCUGCAUCUGUGCCAUCCUUAGCUGCAGUUCCAUCAUGCCUUGCAAGGUAAGGAACGUCAACAGAAAUAAAUUUUGAGGUCAGUAGACAUCUAAAUGUCCCAGAAACUGGUAUUGGCAUUCUCCAUAGCUGAACAAUAACAAGAGUUAUGCAUUAGUAUGGUGAGACACAAGUCAUGUAGUCUUGAUAUUACUAUGGUUUCCUAGUGUAUGGGGAUAUUUAAGAAUGAAAGUGCUUGUGCAACCUCUUAACAUAAAAACAUAGGGAUCGCGUAUCUUAGCUGCUCACACCAGAAAUGAAUGAGUUAGAAUUCUAAUGAGAUUCACCAAAUAACUGCCAUAAUGAGAAACUCUGUGAACAUCAUUAUUUCUGAGUGUUUACAUUUUAAGGAUUAAAUUGGUGAAGUGAAAUCAAGUAACUAAUUAAAAUUAAAAUACAGUUUAGGAACCUGUGAGUCUUUCACAUGAAAUUAUUUAAUUGUAGAGCUUAUAAGUAUCACAGCUUGUUCUUUCAGUGGUUGUAAACUCUGUGUAUCAAACACUUGUAUUACAGUUAUUGCAAGCUAUGGAAGUCUAGAGUUUGCUGUCCAGAGUAAGUCUUUCAUCUUUUCUUUCAGUGGUAUCAGCAUAAAUGAUUUGACAUAGAAAAUUUUGCAUGUACUUAUUGCCGAGAACAGUUGCACUUGGUAUGUUAGCUUAUAGUAAUAGCAAAGUAUUCCAAAAUCAACAGGCACAAAAUUCAGUAUUUUAAUACUUGAUGACUGGCUACUUAGAUAAUGUAAAACCAUGUGACCUCAGUAUUUGCUGUUUAGUCUAAAAUUUGCUUAGUUAAACUGGAGCUGUGAAAGUAGAAAGCAGGAAAAACUGUUAAGUGGGAGCUGAAUGUUGUUUUUUGCAUGUGAAUUUGUUUUUUCUUGCAAAGUGACCACAGAAACUCUGAUUUUAGUAGAAAAAAUCAUGGGUUGACUAAGAUCUAAAAAGUUUUGACUUUCAGGUAGUUCUUGGGCCCUGCUCUUGCACCUUAUCCUCUUCUUUCUCAAAGUAACUUUGAAAGCAGGUAAGAUAUUGCUGCAAUUCCUUGGCUAUGUAAAGUUUUUUACUUCUUCACCACCUACACCUCUCUGAGCUCACCAAAACUGCUAAAAUCUGCUGUUUUUUCCCUAGAAUCGGUGUUACUGGAAAAUACCUUAACUCAUGGGGUGUGCACAGGCUGGCUUAGAGAAACAGACUUUUGAAGCACAGCUUUAAAAGUAACCUGACAAUGUAAAGUAAGAGUUAAAUUGGGCAAAAAUUUUCAGCUGUUGAAAGGUAAAUGAUUUCACACUACUAACAUUAAUUCACUGAAUUGUUGUACCUUCUGGUAUGUAUUGUUUAAUUUCAUUAAAAAGAAGUUGUUUAUCUUAGAACUCUAACCAAGUAAACAUUUUUUUUAUUUCUGUAUAUAACAAAUGGUGACAUUUUACUAACUUAAGAUAUUGAAAGUUAUAGAACUACAUGCUAACUUGAACGAUUCUUAAACUCCUGUAAGCAUUAAUAUAGCAUUCUUUUAAUCCUUUUAAAAAGCAUAUUACUAAUAAUGCUUGCAAUUUAUUUCUUGGUUUUUACCUCAAUGCCUUUAAAAUAAACAUUAAAUAUUGAUAUAUGUCGCAUAUGUAUCUUAAUAGAUACAUUAAAAAGCACACUAGAAAUUUAUUGUAAAUAUGAACAUGAAGGUACAGGAAAAUACAAUGGCUGAUGAACAUAAAAGAAAUCUUAUUGUAAAGCAUCAAACUAGUGAGUCAGAAAAAUGUUUAUGAAGUUAUUUCUAAACUGGUGUGCACCCUUUUUCAAAUACCUUUUUCAGAUAUCUUCUUUUCAGCCCUCAUAUAUUUGAACAAAUAAGGAUACAAGA
Long non-coding RNA from Pezoporus occidentalis (night parrot), 3499 nucleotides. RefSeq lists it as uncharacterized. The transcript is spliced from 2 exons. NCBI's taxonomy places the organism in Eukaryota, Metazoa, Chordata, Aves, Psittaciformes, Psittacidae. The record is from RefSeq and is a predicted model, not a curated record.